GACGAACGCUGGCGGCGUGCCUAAUACAUGUAAGUCGAACGAGAGCGACCGGUGCUUGCACUGGUCAAUCUAGUGGCGAACGGGUGAGUAACACGUGGGUAACCUGCCCAUCAGAGGGGGAUAACAUCCGGAAACGGAUGCUAAAACCGCAUAGGUCUUCGAACCGCAUGGUUUGAAGAGGAAAAGAGGCGCAAGCUUCUGCUGAUGGAUGGACCCGCGGUGCAUUAGCUAGUUGGUGAGGUAACGGCUCACCAAGGCCGUGAUGCAUAGCCGACCUGAGAGGGUGAUCGGCCACAUUGGGACUGAGACACGGCCCAAACUCCUACGGGAGGCAGCAGUAGGGAAUCUUCCGCAAUGGACGCAAGUCUGACGGAGCAACGCCGCGUGAGUGAAGAAGGUUUUCGGAUCGUAAAACUCUGUUGUUAGAGAAGAACAAGUGCUAGAGUAACUGUUAGCGCCUUGACGGUAUCUAACCAGAAAGCCACGGCUAACUACGUG
RNAcentral lists this ribosomal RNA (498 nucleotides) under uncultured bacterium. Its description in RNAcentral is "partial 16S ribosomal RNA". It matches the Rfam family "Bacterial small subunit ribosomal RNA", at positions 28 to 507 of the family's 1533-position model. The record is from RNAcentral.